UACGAGGGGUGCAAGCGUUAUUCGGAAUCAUUGGGCGUAAAGGGUGCGUAGACGGCUUACUAAGUCAACUGUUAAAUUCUCCGGCCUAACUGGAGGCGAGCAGUAGAAACUGAUAGGCUUGAGGUUGGAAGAGAGAAGUGGAAUUCUCGGAGUAGCGGUAAAAUGCGUAGAUCUCGAGAGGAACACCGAUGGCGAAGGCAGCUUCUUGGUCCAAAUCUGACGUUGAGGCACGAAAGCGUGGGGAGCAAACAGG
RNAcentral lists this ribosomal RNA (253 nucleotides) under uncultured bacterium. RNAcentral's name for it is "partial 16S ribosomal RNA". It matches the Rfam family "Bacterial small subunit ribosomal RNA", at positions 524 to 776 of the family's 1533-position model. The record is from RNAcentral.